Long non-coding RNA from Felis catus (domestic cat), 3872 nucleotides. RefSeq lists it as uncharacterized. Lineage: Eukaryota; Metazoa; Chordata; Mammalia; Carnivora; Felidae. The record is from RefSeq and is a predicted model, not a curated record. The transcript is spliced from 3 exons.
UACAAUUGUGCUCAGAAGGAUUCUGAGACUAUGCCUCUGCUACACAGAAAAAUAUGUCGUAAUCAAUUAGCAACGUUUAAAACAGUCACUGAGGAAGACGGAGUAGCAUACCUCAUGUUUUCAUCAUUUGUCUUAUAACAUACAGGACCAACAUGGCCUGAUCCUUCAGAGAAGGCCAGAGCCAUUUUGAAAGCCACCAGGAGAAGUGACGAUACCAAUAGCCGUUUGAGACACCUGCCCACGGAUGAUCAAGUACUACCCACAGCUGUGCAAUAAAGGACCGUGUGAGUACACUGUGUGUACCCAGAUACUCCUGGAUAAUCUCCCUAUUUUAAGGUCAGAUGAUUAGUAACUUUAAUUACAUCUGUAAAGUCUCUUUUGCCAUGAAACACAAUGUAUUUACAGUCAUACGUGAGGAGGUGUAGGUUAUAGGAACCUAAAUUGUGUCUACCACAGGUUAUUACUAUUAUUAUUGUUAUUAUUUAAAUGAGUGAAGGACUAGCAUGGGUAGGGAACAGAAUGUUCUGGACAAUAAAGUUUUCUAGUGCAUUGGAAGUUAUUUCAUUUAGAGUUAAAUUUUGGGGGAUAAAUAAUUACAGCACUGAUUAACCAACUGAAAUUCAGAAUUCUUAUCUGUGUGCACAUAUAUAAUACCAAUCUCCAUAUAUUUUAAAUGUAACACUCUGUUAUCUCUAAACCUUAACACAAAUCUGCCAAUACACUUUCAAAAAUAUUUAUGAAAUUGCCAUGUUAAAGCCACCUCUGAUUUAAAAAAAAAAACUGAAUAGUGAGAAAACUUUUUACAAAAUUUAACUUGAGGGAAGUUUCAGAAAUCUGAAAAACUAUAGAUCUUUCACAUAUAUGUCUUGUUCUGAAAAAUGAUUAGGAUUAAUUCCUGAUAAUACAAUAAAAAUGAGACAUUUAUGAAAUAAUUAGGCUUCAACAAAAAAUGAAAACAUUUAAAUUAUAAUUAUCUCUAAAUAUUUCACUGCCAGAAUAAACCUAAACUAGAUCUGGCUAGAAAUGAAAAACAGAAAGCUUCAAAAAGUCAUGAAAAAGAAAAUAAAAAUAAAACAAAAUAUGGUGUUUAACAUCUUUUGCAUGCCCGUAAUAUAAAGCUGGAUAACUGCCAUUCACAUGGGUAAACUGUAAAGCUUGUCUUUUCUUUUGGUUUAUGGACUUGUGAUAGGCAGCUGGUGAGUAUAGAUAUUUGAAUCUUCUGGGCAUGCUAAGUUCUCUCUCGCAUCUGUUCAAAACUAAGAAUCUCACUGUGAGGCUAAUUAUUUGUAUUUGGGGCUGCAAGUGGCCUAGUACAGAAGCCACUUCACAUUUUGCUCUGGACAGUAGAUCUAGGUACACAUGCAUGUGCAUAUACACAUGGGCACGUGUUCUCACACUUAUACACACACACAUAUUGAUGUACGUGACCAAUUAACGACUUGGGUUAUUUUUCAAACAUACUUUUUUUUUUUUUUUUACUUUAGUGUGUAAUCUAUAUACUAGAGUCAGCGCAACAUCAGCGAUCUUUAAACAGAGACAUGUCACUGGGAAAGAAGUGGACAGAGAUAGGCAAUGAGUAUUUCUAGACCUUCUGAGUUAUACCAUAACUUGCAAUGUUCUUUCUAUUUUCCUCUCAUUUCCUGUUCCUAUUUUUUUCUCAUCCAUUUUUAGAUCUAACUUGCCAAAGUCUCCUUCUAAGCCUGUUUACUCAUGCAGUUACUGUUUUCUCUCACUUGCCUCACACUAACCAGAUUUUGGCCCAGUACAGACUUAGAAUAGGGUGAUUUAGAUCAAAAUUCAACCUCCUGUUUCACAUGAACAAGAUGACAUUUAAGUCUCUAAGGGUUUAUUUAUGCAAAUAUCAAAUAUAAGGAGGACUAUGAGUCACUAUGAAAUUUCCUAAAUCUCCUUUUAGCUAUAGUUAAUAAUUUACAGGUUGAAGGAUGCAUGCUGGAUUAUAAUCAAAUCCUUCAGAAGAGAGGAUGCUGGGACGAUAGCCUUUCACUAUUUAGCAUCUAUUUAUAUGAUAUCACUGAGACUUUUGGCAUAGUUUUCAUGCCCAAAAUGUUUUUAACAUCUGUGUGGCUGUUCUUUUUUUAAGACUGAGGAUUCAGUAUUCAUUAAUCUCUCAAACCCCAACUGGCCUUCAGAAGCAACUCAAUGCUUUCUUUGAGGACUGCACAAAAUAUAAUCUCAAAAUAAAUCACAAGAAGUGUAAGGUAAUGGUUUUUAGUUCUAGGAAAUUCAAGAGUUCCUGGUAUGCUUAGGGAGUUAAGUUUAAUGUGGUGAAAUAUUUUAUGUGGCUUUGCAUUAUCUUUCACUUAAAUCUGCCAUGCGAAAAGCAAAGAAAGUUGAAAAUCUCAGCAACAAUAGAGGAUUAGAUUUAGGAGGGAAUGAAUUGAUGCCCAUUUUUAUGAUAUAUCAACCUAAAGCAGGUUUCCAGAUUCUGUGCUAUUCAGAAACCCAUAAUAUUCACGAUGGUGAAUGUAUUAAAAUUGCUUUUGGAAAAUGAGGAUGACAUUCGUUUGACACAGAGGGUGUUUAAUCUCUGUAGGCAAAUCAGAUGGGGAAAAACAGUUUUUUUCAUUUGAGUUGCAUUCAUUAUCAUUUCUGCACCUUUGAUAAGAUGGUCAAAAUGAACAGAUCAGUCAGGCUGUAGGCAGUCGGAAGGCUAUGCUCAUAGGCAUGAAAUGAACAGUUACUGACAGGGUUUUUGAGAGAAAUGGAAUAUACGGAGGUGAACCUAACCAGAAUGCUAAUAUGGAAACUGCCUACAGAUGGUUUAGUAGGAGAAAUUUUAUUUUGGGUGAAACAGAAAUGCAAAAUAUACAACUCCAGAAUUUAACAUUUAGAUUAUUGUUAUUUGGGAAAACAAUUAUUUCUAAAAUUUGAUGGACACUGAAUAUCCUUAACAUUUUUACAAACAAAAUUAUUCCAAACAGAAUUUUUAUGGCCUUUCAGAAAAGUGCAUUUGAAAUUAGUCUUAUAGUGAUGGGGAGACUGAAGGAAACAUUUGGCCUCAAAGAAAUGGCCAAGAAGUGUUAUUUUCAAGUGCAUUAUUAUCAUCCCUAUAGGAUAAUUUGGAAACUUUGUGAAUAACUGCAUGAUUAGAUAGGAAGAUCCAUCCUUGUUAGAAGACAUGUGCUUGUAUAAUCAAUUGUACAUGAUUACUUUUAAGUUCAUGGUUUCCUUGGAUGCAGCUUGCCAAUAAAUGUCUCUUUGAUAUAAUAUGAGAAAGAAUUAAUAAGAAGCAAUAAUGAAACUAACUUGAAAACAGUUGAAAAUAUAAAUAGUGCCUUUGAUUUUUAAAGAGAAGAUUCUUGCCAGAGUAACACAGAUCCAGAUAAUAGAGAACUCAGGAAGCAAAGUUCUGAUAGUUUAUAGUUCCUUGCUGGCAUAGCUAAACCACUUUGAAAAUAUGCUUUAACUCUUAAAUUUCUGAAUAAGCUGGUGUGCUCCUUCCUGGCUGAAUGUUGCUUUCUCUCAUUUUAGCCCCAUAUUCUUUUUUAUUUUUUUCAAAGUUAUACACGUACAUAUACUAAAAAGUCAAAAAGUUGUAUAAGGGUUGCAAGAAAAACAGCACUCCUUACCACGCUCCCUGAGGAAACCACUUUUAGCUGAUGUUUUGGGACUUCUCUCCCUGUUGCUAGUAAUGUACUUAUAAUGCUACAUCUUGAUUUUUCAGUGUCAGGUUAGAAUCUAUUGACUUCCCACUACUAAAAUGUUUUUGUUCACAUCACUGCUCCCUAUACCUCUAGAAAAGUUAUAUAGAUCAAUAAUCAUUAUUUAUGUUAUUUUGAUUAUGUAAACACUUAUCACAGCUGCUCCAUUUAGUAAACUGUAUUACUUUUCCUUUCAGGCACAAGUUUAAA